GACGAACGCUGGCGGCGUGCUUAACACAUGCAAGUCGAACGGAAAGGCCCUGCUUUUGUGGGGUGCUCGAGGGCGAACGGGUGAGUAACACGUGAGUAACCUGCCCUUGACUUUGGGAUAACUUCAGGAAACUGGGGCUAAUACCGGAUAGGAGCUCCUGCUGCAUGGUGGGGGUUGGAAAGUUUCGGCGGUUGGGGAUGGACUCGCGGCUUAUCAGCUUGUUGGUGGGGUAGUGGCUUACCAAGGCUUUGACGGGUAGCCGGCCUGAGAGGGUGACCGGCCACAUUGGGACUGAGAUACGGCCCAGACUCCUACGGGAGGCAGCAGUGGGGAAUAUUGCACAAUGGGCGGAAGCCUGAUGCAGCAACGCCGCGUGCGGGAUGACGGCCUUCGGGUUGUAAACCGCUUUCGCCUGUGACGAAGCGUGAGUGACGGUAAUGGGUAAAGAAGCACCGGCUAACUACGUG
This 467-nucleotide ribosomal RNA is filed under the name uncultured bacterium. RNAcentral describes it as "partial 16S ribosomal RNA". It matches the Rfam family "Bacterial small subunit ribosomal RNA", at positions 28 to 507 of the family's 1533-position model. The record is from RNAcentral.